GACAGAAGAUGGCGGAUGAGCAGCGUGCAGGGUUUUCUCCCUGUGGCUCACUCUCUCUUACUGUGCUGGGCGGUUGCUUCCUCUCCUGCUGCCCUUGGGAGUCAGACUCCAGGUUCUUCAGCCUGUGGCCCCUGGGGCUCUCGGGCCUUGGAGGACUGACUAGGAGCACACGGUGGGCCUCUCUGGUUUGGGGGCCUGGGACGUGGCGGAGCCCUGCAGCUUCUGUGCGGCCUGUUCUGGGCGUCGCGUUGAAACGCCAGCCAGUUCCCCAAGUAAGCUCCCUGCACACACGCCUGAUAGCCUGUUGGUUCCGUCCUUCUGCGGGAUUUUCACUACCACUCUCUAACUCACACACAGCAGAAAGAGCAUACGGGAGAGAUGAAGCAGUCCACUCCAAGAACAUUCUCAUCCUACGGAUUACGAGUCCCCCUGGGAUUACAGGAGUGUUGAAGAAAUGUUGUGACACAUCAGAACACCGCGAAAUACAUGGACACUUUCAAAUCAUGGAAGACUCAAGGACAAAGAAGACAGAAAAUACUACACACUACCCAGAGAUUGAAACUGAAGGUGUGAACAACAGAGAAAAGAGAGGGCAAAGAAAAGGAAAACAAAGAAGACGUGGGAUAUGAAAGGUGUAUGCCAUGUGUGGACAUCAAGAAAUGUUUCAGCUCGCACUUCUGCCACCAAUUGAGCCUGGAACCUCACUACUUGGAGUUGGGGGGAGGGCAGUGCUCAUUCAUCACCUGUGAAAAUAGGGAUUGAGAGUUCCCUAACUUUGCCAUUUUUCCUCAAGCACUGGCAUUGGUCUUCUGAAUGUCAGGCUCUGUAUAAGUGAGUCCUCAGCUGAGCCACAGGCUCUGCAUUCCUGGCAGUCCACACACUUCAUAUCCUUUGUUUAUGCUGCUCAUUUUGGAAUUCAAACAGGUUGGUGGGGCACAUUUCAACAGAUAAUGACACACACUGACUGCUCAUGAGCUAUUUUAUGGUGUGAGAAUGUUGUGAUGUUAUGAAAUGCGGAGGCAUUAAAACAUGGGGACAUUUUCUAGAAGAUCCUUAGCAGAGAGUACAGAAGACUAAGGUCCAAAUCUCUGAAAUGAUGUUUUCCAAAUUAUUGCACAGCUAUGUCAAAGUACCUUGAUCCAGUUAAUGUUAACAAAUAAAAAAUUAUGAAAUGUUAUUUUCUAGGUAUGGAUAGUAGUGGAUAGUAGUAGAUCUGUUGUGUAGUGGAGAUUACUUAGGAAGAAUAAAUUUCAACUUUACCAAGAAAGUACUACAUUAAUUGCAUUAGGGAAUUGUGAAUUGCAUUAGGAAAAUGCUCAUUCUUCUUUCAAUAGCCAAUAUCUGGAUACUAUACUCUCUUGAAUUUCUAAGAUUUGCAUCCAAUAUUCUAUAAUUAGCUUUCCAGUUUAUUGAAUGAUUUAAUUUACAUACAAAUAUUUUCUAAUAUAUUCCCUGUAAAAUAGUUUAAAAAAUUAAACGUUUCUCUAA
RNAcentral lists this long non-coding RNA (1488 nucleotides) under Homo sapiens (human). RNAcentral describes it as "HSALNT0340832". The record is from RNAcentral. Lineage: Eukaryota; Metazoa; Chordata; Mammalia; Primates; Hominidae.